This 440-nucleotide ribosomal RNA is filed under the name uncultured bacterium. RNAcentral's name for it is "partial 16S ribosomal RNA". It matches the Rfam family "Bacterial small subunit ribosomal RNA", at positions 338 to 795 of the family's 1533-position model. The record is from RNAcentral.
CCUACGGGGGGCAGCAGUGGGGAAUAUUGCACAAUGGGGGAAACCCUGAUGCAGCGACGCCGCGUGAGUGAAGAAGUAUUUCGGUAUGUAAAGCUCUAUCAGCAGGGAAGAAAAUGACGGUACCUGAUUAAGAAGCCCCGGCUAACUACGUGCCAGCAGCCGCGGUAAUACGUAGGGGGCAAGCGUUAUCCGGAUUGACUGGGCGGAAAGGGAGCGUAGACGGUUGCACAAGUCUGGUGUGAAAUGCCGGGGCUUAACCCCGGAACGGCAUUGGAAACUGUGCAGCGAGAGUGCAGAAGAGGAAAGUGGAAUUCCUAGUGUAGCGGUGAAAUGCGUAGAUAUAAGGAGGAACACCAGUGGCGAAGGCGGCUUACUGGACUGUAACUGACGUUGAGGCUCGAAAGCGUGGGGAGCAAACAGGAUUAGAUACCCUAGUAGUC